UGACAUGGCAGGCUAAAAUGUCAUCAAGUAUGAAGAUGCAGGAGGAGCAGGGCUUGAGCUGUGUACAUUAACCAGCACCACUACUACUACCACCACCACUACUAUCUACGCAAGAAUGUGUGUCAGUGUUCAGUUCAGUUAGUCUAAGGCUAGGUGAACUUGGGCGGCCCUCGCCGCUCGCCGAGCAUGUGCUCAAGCAUCCGGGGGCGGCGACAAGAGGCGAUCAAUCGAUCGGUCGAGUGAAAUUCUUUGGUUCAUUUGUAUGCUUUGUUGUAGUUUCAUUGUCUUCUGCAAAGUUGUAGGCGUGUGUUGGGCGUCCAUGGUGAUGGUGUCGCUUGUAAUGUUGGGGGUGGCAACUUCACCUUUUCUAGCAUUUCCACAAGUUAUGGGUCUUGUAAAUUCCAAGUCUCAAUAAAGGGAACACAAACUUGCCUUUUUGUACAGAACAAUCAUACUACUUGUCUUUGGUUUCCCAACAUUUUCAUGCUCUGGUUGAAUGAACAAGACUCCAAGGUGAGAUAAUGCAGAUAUUGACCAGCUAGAAAUCGAGCGUUCUAUGAUGAAAAAAUAUAUGAUUUCGAAGAAGAAAUUCGAGAUGCAUUAUGAAAAUAGUAUAUGAUGAAAAACCAUGUUUUAGAAAAAAGAUUACUACUCAAAUCCAGACACAUUCAUAUCCAAGAAGAGAGAGAUGGUUUUACAAUAUUGAUAAAACCAGAUCUAUAACAACAAAGCUCUCUGUUUGAUAAAAGGACCCUGCGAAACCAAAUUGGCAGUAAGCAGUGAGAAGUCAAGUCAAGCGUUUGCGCGUGAAGGAGAUGCGAAAGGGACAUGAACCUUCGAUGUUUGCCGAUGAUACCGGUUCCAUCUUCCCUAAGCAAAAAAACAGAGCAUGGAAGCAAAGGAGAGCAUCAUUGAUUCGUUCCAAAUGUGAACCCAACAAAGAAAACUAUUCCUUACCCCAUGGAGGGUGCUAAUGAAGAUGAGGUGCUAACGAAGAUGAGUCAUCCGAUGGUUUCACACUAAAACAUCACCAUCAUCUAUAGCCCCUUUGGAUGCUAAAGGGAAGAGGUUUAGCAGGAAUAUGCAUGGACCGAGAUCCAGUUUCCUGGUAAGAAUCCAGGUGAAGAAUGUGUAUUAUUAUUUUGCAGAGAGCAAUCCGUCGAAGGAUCUUACAAAUUAUUUCUUUUUACGGUCGUGCUCAUUCUCAGACAAUAAAUCUAAUUCAACUCAAUAACCGUCUAAUUAUACGCGGAUAUUCGUAUAGAAUUUCACUUUUUGCGGUUUUCUUGUCCAUUCAUCGGUACAUGUUUUAUCUCGUUAUUAAUUUUACGGAUUUUUUUCUUGUUCAGUGAGAAAAACUUCUACAUGUUGUGCAUCAAUGCAGUUUGUUGGGGAAUUUGGACUCUCCAAAACAUAGUAAACUUUGAAGAUCAUGUUUGCGCUCUUCUAUGGAAGUUAUUGUCGUUGUGUGUUCCUUUUUGUCGUACUAGUCAGGUGAGGUUAAACACGGAUAUAGAGCUCUUAUUCGAGGAGGUGUCAAGAUGUCAACGGGCAAAAGCACCUUGCCCGUGGCUGCCCGCGCCGGUGCCGUGCCGGCGACGGCGGCGGCGCCCUGCUCCUCGGGGGAAAACCUACGGGGGCCGGUGCUGCCCCGCCUCCUGGACAGGGCCUCCCCCACGCCUGGCAUCUUGGGCCCCGGCCCCGCACGGUCUCUGGGCCCCGAGGCUGUCCGGUCUGCCCUCCAGCUGGGCCGGCCCACGGGAACUGGCCCACUAGGGUGCCCUAGGCCCAGGGCGGUGGCCUCCCCCAUUUGGCUCCCCUUUGGUCUCCCUCGGCUCCCAGUUCCCUCCCUUGCCGCCACCGCCAGCUCCUUGUCCAUCCUCCCCUCGCUCUCCCCCGCCGCUGCGCCUUCCUCCCCUUCUCUCCGUCCGGCCGCGGAGUCCCCCCCGCCCCCUCCUCCCCUGCCGCAGCUAGCUAUGCCACGGGAUUGGGACGACGGCGCCCCCAGGAUCAAGCGGAGGGCGGACGACCACCGCGAUUCCUCCCGCCCUUCGCCGGACGCGCUCUGGCGCGAGGAGCUCCGCCGGGAGCUCCAUGAGCUCCGCGAGGGCCGUCGCGACGACCGCCGCUCCCCAACCGCCGUGAGGGUCGGGGCCGCUCCCGUUCUUCUCGCCCGUCUGCCUCGGGGGACUGGCGUGCUCGUCGCCGGUCCCCUUCCCCUGCGCCUCACCACGGCAGGUCCUCCUCCCCGCCCCGGACGUCGCGUCCCGCCUCCCCUCGCCACCAAGGCCGCCCCCGGCCCCUGCUACUCGGCGCUUUGUGCGGCCCCACACGCCUGUUCCCGCGGCCCUGGCUGCGGCAACAGCCAUGGGCGGUGGCGCUGCUCGCGGGCGCUCGGGUCCGGCCAAGAAGAAGAAGUGUCAUGGCGCUCGUGGCGCCCCGCCCGCGCCCCCCUCCUGGCGGCCCCGGGAUUCUCGUCCGUGCCCGGCCCCGUCUCUGGCCUUCCCCGCCCCCCUGCUUCAACUACGGGGUGGCUGGCCACUCGCAAGUUGAUUGUGUCAACCCCCGGUGCUGCUACCUCUGCAAGGAUCAGGGCCACCCCGCCCUCCUAUGUCCGGAUAGAUCGGUGGUGUCGCAGCUCAUGAUGUAUGGCCAUGGCAUCGAGGGGUUGGGAUUCUUCCACCUCGAGGUCCCCGACGUGCCGCCUCCCACUCCCACUCUCCAGGCGGUCGUCAUGGUGGUCGACGGGGUGGCUUCCCCGGAGAUGAUUGAGGCCGAGCUCAACCACCUCUACCGGCGCCAGUGGGACUGGGUGGUCACCCCCACCGCUGGCCACAUCUUCUCCGUCGUCUUCCCCGACUCCAUCAGCUACGGCUACGCCACUCGCAGUGGCCGGAUCACGCUCGCCCUCAACCAGCUUGUCGUCGACAUCUUUGAGCCGAUCCUCGAUGCGUAGGCCGUGGCCGUCCUCGACAACGCCUGGAUCCUUGUGGCCGGCCUCCCCGAUAUUGCUCGGUCAGAGCUCGUCAUCCGCUAGAUGUCCUGGAUCUUGGGCAAGGUGGUGGUCGUCGAUGAGCUCUCACUGCGCAAGGAGGCGGAGGUCCGGGUCAAGGUCAAGUGCCUCGACUCCUCCAAGCUCCGAUCCACCAUUUGAGUGUUCUUCAAUGACCAGGGCUUUGACCUCCGGAUCGCCCCCGAGCCCCCCAACCACGUCGGCCGCCCCCGUUCCCUCGACGUUGGCCCUCCCGGUGGCAACCCGGGGNNNNNNNNNNNNNNNNNNNNNNNNNNNNNNNNNNNNNNNNNNNNNNNNNNNNNNNNNNNNNNNNNNNNNNNNNNNNNNNNNNNNNNNNNNNNNNNNNNNNNNNNNNNNNNNNNNNNNNNNNNNNNNNNNNNNNNNNNNNNNNNNNNNNNNNNNNNNNNNNNNNNNNNNNNNNNNNNNNNNNNNNNNNNNNNNNNNNNNNNNNNNNNNNNNNNNNNNNNNNNNNNNNNNNNNNNNNNNNNNNNNNNNNNNNNNNNNNNNNNNNNNNNNNNNNNNNNNNNNNNNNNNNNNNNNNNNNNNNNNNNNNNNNNNNNNNNNNNNNNNNNNNNNNNNNNNNNNNNNNNNNNNNNNNNNNNNNNNNNNNNNNNACUCCCGCUCUCCGUCCCCCUCCCCCCUCCUGCAGCUGGGGGCAAGGGCCGCCAGGCCGCGCCCAGCCAGCUCCUCGACGGCCCUUCGAACUCGGUGGCUACGUCAUAUCCAGUGUCGGCCUGGUCAUCUGCCCUGCUUCCUUCCCUCGCUCUCCUACCUCGCCGACUCCUGUCGCGCAGGUCCCGGUGUCGGGCCAGCCCCCGGCGUCGCUCCGACCCCCAGCCUGCUCCUGCCGACUUCGGUGGUGGCCCCCGAGGAUGCUGUGCCACCAGAGGAGGAUGCCCCUCCUUCGACUUCCCUUCCUACGAUCGCACAGCCUCCUCCGGUCGCGUCGCCGACUCCACCGCCGCUCCCCCUAGUGGUCCCGGCCUCGUGCAGCUCUGCUCCCCCUUCGUCCCUGCUGUGUUCGUCACCGAGCGCUUCUCCGGCUCCAUUGCUCCUCGGCUGCACCGGGUCUGCUCUGCUGGCUCCACCCGCGGAGGCCCUGGCCACGGAUGGGGAGGCACGGGUGACCACCCCCAUGGCCGCCCAACCUCCCCCUCCACGGUCUGCGGCAUACUCUCGUCGCGGUCGGUCGGCCUCCUCCUCGGUGGUCGCGUCCCGUCGGAGCGCUAGGCUGGAUGCCGCUCACCCCGAGGGCAGUCCGCCUCUGCCCAUCCCCGAGCGGGCGGAGCUCCGUGCUGCUGCUCGGAACCUGGAGCCAGGUACACCUGCCGUUCCCCCUUCGGCUUCGUCGUGUUCCUUCUUUGCCCUCGAGUCUAUUCCCCUCGGCAACCUCGCGAAGGUUGCUUCAGACCCCGCCAUCAUCUUUAGGGGGGAUGUUGGUCCCCCCUUAGUCCUGAUCGAGGCUAUUAGGGCCCGCGAGAUUCUUGACAAAUGGCUUGCGUAGGCCCGUGCGACCUGUCUUUUGCCUCUCGUCCCCUCCGUAGCCGACGAGACUUCUUCCCCUGCACCCUCGAGGCGGACUGGUGGCCUUCUCCCGCUUGCGGGAGCUGAAAUCCGUUGCCGCACCCGCUCCCGCACCGCGACCCUCCGUGCUCAAAGCGCUUCUCGAGUCCUGGGGUCAAGCAGCCCCCUAAUGGCGUCGUAAUGCGUGCCCUCUUCUGGAACAUCCGUGGUUUUGGCCAUGAUGGCUAACUACUGGAAUACAUGCGUGAUGAACACAUUGACAUUAUGGCGAUCCAAGAAACCAUGCGCUCCGAAUUCUCGCUUCCUGAGCUUGACUGCCUGAGCUCCCACCUCUUUGUGUGUCAUUGGCUCCCUUCUAGUGGGAGCGCCGGCCACUCGGGGGGCAUCCUUUUAGGCGUUAAGGACGCCACCUUUGAGGUGGGUAGCAUGGAUCUGGGGGAAUUAUUUGUGAGCAUGGAGCUGUUCGAGAGGUCCCUUAACUUCAAGUGGGAGGUCAUCAUCGUCUACGGGUCGGCAGACCAUAGUCGGUCUGCCGCCUUCCUCGAGGAGCUCCACCAGAAGAUCUCCGCGGCUUCUCUUCCAGUGGUAGUUGGAGGCGAUUUUAACCUCCUUCGCGUCACGGAAGACAAGAGCAAUGCUAAUGUCAACUUUACGCGGAUGCAAAUGCUCAAUGACUUCAUUGCUGAUCUUGGUCUCCGCGAGAUUGAUAGGAUCGGUGCUAGGUUCACCUGGACCAAUCGGCAGGCCUCCCCGACCCAGUCCGUCUUGGACAGGGUCCUAGUUUCCCCGGAUAGGGACCUCCGUUGUCCCUUAGCUUCCCUUCGAGCCAUCACCCGGAUUGGCUCGGACCAUGUCCCGCUUCUCCUGUCCUCUGCAGAUGAGCGCUUGCCGAUUACUCCUAGAUUCCGGUUUCAGACCUUCUGGCUCUCCCAAACCGGGUUCGUGGAUGCCGUUGCCGCUCGUUGGGUCGAGGCCCACGCCCACGCUCACCCCGUCCCCCUUCGGCCAUUGAUUCAUGGCACUUCUGUGUGAAGCGGGGACGGUAGUUCAUGAAAGGGUGGGGUGCUAACCUGGGCCACGACCUCCGCGAGUGCAAAAGGGCGUCGUUGACCGCGAUUCAAGCUCUUGACUUGCGUGCGGACACGGUGGGUCUUUCUCCGGACGAGUGGCUCUCCCGUUAUGACCUUGAAGAUCAACUUUCUGUCAUCUACACCGAUGAAGAGGCCUAUUGGCGCCUUCGUGGUGCCCAGAAAUGGGUCUUGAAGGGUGACGCGAAUACGGCCUACUUCCAGGCCAUUGCUAACGGCCGUCGUAGACGCAACACGAUCCCCCUCUUGUGGGAUGGUGAGAUCCUCCUUCAAGCCCCCCUCUCCCUGGCCCCCGAUUGCUGGUCCGGGCCCCAAUUGGUCUCUGAUUCGGAGAACGCAGGCCUUAUGGCCCCCUUCCUCGAGCGCGAGGUUUGGGUUGUCAUCAAGGGCAUGAACCCAUCCUCGGCGCCGGGACCUGACGGUCUCCCGGUUAAAUUUUUCCAUACCUUCUGGAACGUGAUUAAACCGGAGGUCGUGGCCAUCUUCGGCGAGUUCUAUGUGGGCUCCCUCGAUCUCGGUCGCCUCAACUACGGGAUCAUCUCUCUCAUCCCCAUGGUUCCUGGUGCUUCCGACAUCCGCCAUUUUUGCCCGAUCACGGUCAUUAACGUGAUCUUCCGGAUCCUUGAGAAAGGUUAUGCCAAUAGGGUGACCCUGCUUGCUGACCAUGUGACCCACCCCUACCAGUCCGCCUUCAUUCAGGGCCGAUAUAUCUUGGAUGGGGUCCUAGUUCUUCAUGAAGUCCUCCAUGAGGUCCACGCCAAACACCUCAAGGCGGUUUUCCUGAAGAUUGACUUCCAUAAGUCCUAUGAUACGGUGAGAUGGCCCUUCCUUCGGGAAGUUCUGCUUCGGAAGGGCUUAGAUGACCGGUGGGUCACUAGGGUCAUGCAGAUGGUCUCAUGCGGUCGCACGGUCGUGAACAUCAACGGCGAUAUUGGCCCUUUCUUCCCCACCCUUUGUGGGGUUCGACAAGGCGACCCCUUCUCCCCAUUCCUGUUCAAUAUGGUCGUGGAAGCGCUUGCCACCAUCCUAGAUAAGGCGAAGGCUGCUGGCCAUAUCCGUGGGAUCACCCCCCACCUCGCCGGAGGCUCCGGGAUCUUCCUCCUCCAGUAUGCUGACGACACCAUCAUCAUGGUCGAAGGCUCGGAGACGGACAUCUCCAACCUCAAGUUCCUUCUCCUCUAUUUCCAACAAAUGUCUGGCCUCAAGAUUAACUUCGACAAGAAAGACAUUAUGGUGAUGGGCUACUCUCUCGCGGAGUCUUUGGCCAUUGCCAACUGGCUUAACUGCCGCCUGGGCUCCUUUCCCACGACCUACUUGGGUACGCCCAUUAGUGACUCCCGACUCACCAUCGCGGACUUGCGCCCGUCCGUGGCCAAGAUCCAUACGCGCAUCGAGCCAUGGAAGGGGAGGUGGUUAUCUAAGGCGGCCCGGACUAUUCUCAUUAACUCUUACCUCUCUAGUCUCCUCUUGUUCCUCAUGAGCUUCUACAGCCUCCACGAGACCCUUCACCAUGAUAUCGCUACGAUCCAGUCUCGGUUCUUCUGGGCGGGAGACAGUGAUAAGCAGAAAUAUCAUAUGGUUAGUUUGCUGGACAUUUGCAAGCCCAGGGAGCAAGGCGGCCUUGGCAUUAUGUGCUCUAAACGGAUGAAUAUCACCCUCCUUUCCCGUUGGCUUUGGCGCAUCUCGCAAGGUCAUGGUGGCCUCUGGCUCGACAUCAUCCAGAACAAAUACCUGCGCAGACAGCCCCUCGCCUUUUGCCAGAGAUCUGGUGGAUCCCAGUUCUGGCAAUCGGUUGUCCAGCUCCUUCCGGUUCUCCGUAUUGGGACCUCCAUCUCGGUCGGCUCCGGAGCUUCAACUUUGUUCUGGUUUGAUCGCUGGGCCGGAGACACCCCCUUCGCAGCGCGCUUUCCCGGCCUCUUCUCCAUCUCCGUCGAUCCUGUGAUCUCUGUCGAGAGGGCCCUUAUUGACUUAGGGCGCCUCGCUUUCUGGAGGCCGUUUGGGCCCCCGAAAUCCGCCGCUUGGUGUGAGUUACUCGACUGUGUUUCCCUCCACGAACCUAUGGUGGACGGUGGCCCUGACCAGGUGCGUUGGCGCCUGGCGCCUUCGGGCCAGUUCUCCACCAAGUCUUUGUACCUGGCCAUCGCCCCCUCUUCCGCCCCUCCCCUCUCGAUGGCGUGGUCCAACCGCCUGCCUCUGAAGAUCCGUAUCUUCAUGUGGCAAUGGAUUUACGGUCGGGUCCCGUCCGGGGUCGAGGUUCGCAAGCGAAAUGGCCCGGGCUCUGGCCUCUGCCCGCUUUGCGGUGUCCCCGAAGACUUGAAUCACAUAUUCUUCUCCUGCGUGUCCGCUCAGUUCAUUUGGAGCUACUUUCAUGAAGCAGUCGGUGGAGAUUGGUGCCACACCAACUUUCCCGACUUACUGGCGAACUCCAGAUCUCCCCCUUGACGUCUCGCCACAUUAGGUGGCUUGAGAUUGGGGUCAUCGCUUGGACCCUCUGGACGAUCCGCAAUAAGCUUGUGAUCCAGCGCACUCCUCUUCGGUGGGCUACUGACGCUCUCUUCAAACUUUCGGGUUUCUUGCAGCUUUGGCGGCCGCUUAGCCGUCCUCAAGACCGCGACUCCAUCUCCGCCUUCAUCGCCGACCUCCGCUCAAUGGCCGUCCGUCUGUCGCCGCGGCCCCCGCCGCCUCUGCCGGAACCAGACUAGACGCUCUCCCCUCCGGCUGUUUUCUUGUGUUUUAUUCCUGGGCUUGUUGAGCUCUGCCCUCAGCAGAACCUUUAUACUAUGUUGUGAGACUUGGGUGUGUGUGUGUGUGGACUAGUCCUUGUAUGUGUGCUCUCUGGCGGUUCGCUUAUUUAUAAAGCGGGGCGAAAGCCUUUUUCGGUAAAGCACCAAGCCGUCAGGGUUGAUGAGGAUUUUAUGGCUUAUCUCGAGUCUGCCGCAUUUCUAAUGCGUGAAUAAAAGCUUCUACUUUUAUCUUGCUAUGUGUUGGCUUUGUUAUCUCGGGUUAGGAAAAUUGUGCUUGGGCGGCUUGACAUGGUAGUCAUCUAUCGACAAGCUUGGGGAGGGCCGCGUGGAGAAGUGCGCGUUGCACCACAUGAGACACCCGCGAGAGUGACGGUGACCCGUGUAGGGAAGAGUGGUGGCCCUUCGUUGACGAGGCGCGCGAACGGUCCACACACUUCCGAUCGGCUGCUCCACUAGUGUGGCGGAUGAUGACACAUGUGGAUCUGCCCCUCCUGGUGUAAAUUGGUGGUAAUGCGAGGGGCAGGGUCCGUCGGUGCGGGGCUUGAUCUCGCUGCUGCCACACCUCAUCGAUGUCGGCAUGGGUGAGAUCCAUUUGUUGGCGGAGGUGGGAGUGGUUGCUGGAGACCUGCUCAUUGAAGGCGAGUUGCAUCUCCAGAUGUUUGGCUUCCAGAUGUACUGACAUGGGACCUUGUCAUGAGGGAUAAAGGUGCAUCAGGAGUAGAGUUUCAGAUGUGUACAUUAGCCAAUCAUACUACUACCACCACUACUAUCUAUCUAUCUACUUCAGAAUGUGUGCGUGUUCAGGUCAGUUAAGUCACAUGAAGGUGUAAGGCAACUAGGUGAACUUGGGUGGCCCUCGCCGCUCGCCGAGCAUGUGCUCAAGCAUCCGCGGGCGACGACAAGAGGCGAUCGAUUGAUCGGUCGAGUGAAAUUCUUUGGUUUAUUCGUAUGCUUUGUUGUAGUUUCGUUAUCUUCUCCUGCAAAGUUGUAGGAUUGUGUUGGGCGUCCAUGGUGAUGCUGUCGCUUGUAAUGUUGGGGGUGGCAACUUCACCUUUUCUAGCAUUUCCACAAGUUAUGGGUCUUGUAAAUUCCAAGUCUCAAUAAAG
Molecule: long non-coding RNA, 9475 nt
Filed under: Triticum aestivum (bread wheat)
Lineage: Eukaryota; Viridiplantae; Streptophyta; Magnoliopsida; Poales; Poaceae
Description: long non-coding RNA (TAES_LNC026648)
Source: RNAcentral